Molecule: long non-coding RNA, 1538 nt
Organism: Cyprinus carpio carpio
Lineage: Eukaryota; Metazoa; Chordata; Actinopteri; Cypriniformes; Cyprinidae
Source: Ensembl
UAAUUACAAAAACAAUGUAUAGACAUGUUUUAAAAAAAAACUAUUAAAAGCGCUAAAUAAAAUGACUAAAACAUUCAAUAAAAUCAAGGUGAAAACAGAAAAUAUUAAAAUAAAAUCUAAUUUAAAAAUGUCAAUUAAGGCAGGAAUGCAAGGAGAGAAUCAUUGUUUUCCAGUGUCUUUAAAGAGUUUUUAAGGUAUUUUUUUUACUGGGAAAGCAAUCAGCAGAUUUGGUCUGAUGGUUUCAAGUAUCUUAACUAGCCUCAUUCAUACCAUGUUAGCAAAAGGUCUGUAGCAAUGCAGUGGAAGAGAUGAUGCACGUGGUAGCUGAGCAAAACAAGCAGCUCAAAGGAUUCAGCUGUUCACAAUUGUGCCCAUCAUCAUUUCAACUAUCUUAGCAUAGUAAUUGGCUAAACACAGCAAAUUAUGGAUGAUGGGGUCAGGGUUUUUGAUGUCUCCGCCCCUGCAGUAUUAAGCUCCUCCUGUGGGCGGGGUUUAACAGGGUGUCUUUUGACCCAGAGCUGUGCUGCUGUUUGGAAGCCAGAAGAUCCAGCUGGUUCUAAUCAGAGUGGGCUAUUCAAAGAGUCCAAGCCAGAAAUACAAACAGAGAUCUUUGAGGAAAGAGAGAGGGGAGAGGAAAGAGAGCAAACUUAGUUUUAGCUGAAGACAGAAAAGGCAGAGUCUAAAAAUGUCUCAUUAACUGUAAGCAUUAAUUACUAGUAGUAUAUUAACUGUUCUAAUGUGUCAUCAGCUACAGUAACAUUUCCCAAUCAAAGGAGUUUGAACAUUGUUGGCUGAUAAGAUGUAUUUGUUUACAAACAUGCUUUUGGCUUCAAUAAAUUCACAGAAAAACGGGAAAUGGACAUAUCUAAUUUUUUCUAAGUAAUAAAAAAGGAGGUAAUCUUUCCCAGCUGUCUCUAAUAUUUUUUGUUCUAUAUCUAACUCAGUUAGCACUGUUGGCGCAAGCAACGCUUCACUACAAUCCAAAAGAUUUUUCCAUGUCUGUGGAAAACAGGCCAGACUCAAACACAACAGCAUGGCUUUGACCUUGGCGGUGGGACUAAGAAAAUGAAGCCAGAUCUCACAUGACAUUCAGCUGAACAUUGACACAAAGUCAGACAGGCUCUGCACACUCCAUCAGUCUUGCCCUGCGACUCACAGGGCUGGAAUUCUCCUUGGCAGCUUCUCUCCCCUCCUUUCAGCUGUUGGAUAUAUUGCCUGGGGUAAAUUUUGUUGCAUGCACAACCAAGCAGGAGAAGGAACGAGAGGAGGAGGCCUUGUAAAGGGAAAAAUUUCAGGACUCAGGUUUAUGUUCACUGAACAGAAACAAACAAAGGAAGUGAAGUCACAUUCUUCACUGAGCGACCAAAGAUGGAGGGAGAAAAGAAUACAUUGUAACUUUCUUUUAAAGAAUCUUCAGCAUCCAUAGAAACUUUCCAUACUAAAAAAGUACUUUAUAGUGGAAAAUAUAAAACACACUCCAAGAUCAUUUGAUAAGUACUCGUGUCUCAUUUCAAACAUCUGUCCACACUUUCCAGGAG